Molecule: long non-coding RNA, 678 nt
Filed under: Canis lupus familiaris (dog)
Lineage: Eukaryota; Metazoa; Chordata; Mammalia; Carnivora; Canidae
Description: lncRNA (ENSCAFG00000040467.3)
Source: RNAcentral
ACAAGUGGAGAGAAUAAAGUGAUACAUAUAUUUUACAUGUAUUAAUUAUUUUUGUUGAUUUUGUUUCUCAGUUUAACUGAAAUUGCUAUGAGGAAAUCAGAAAAUGAGGGAGACUUUGCCUGUCAGGAAAGAAAGGAAUAGGUCUAGAUUUGGGUGAGACAAAGGAACCAUGGGGGAAGAUGUGGAAUGCCGAAAUUGGGGAAAAAAGAGAAAUAAAGAAUUCUGCGGAUUGCUGUGCUCCUUGCCACUGUUACCAUAGAUUCUGUUGUUUAAAAGUUGUCUGCUAUUGGACUUAAUGUUCAGCACCCCCUCUAGUGAGAUGACUUCUUACUGUUAGAGACCACCCACCUUCCUUCCCAUGCAAGUGUCCAAGCUGGAAGAAUUAGACAGUUGACUCUAGACCCUGGAUAUCUGUGUAUCCGAAUUGUACUUCAAGGUGUCAACAUAGAGAAAAAGAGGAGAGAAGUUAAUAGAAUUGUCUUGAUGAUUUAGGUCAAGACUAAUGACAAAAUUUUUAUGGUGAUGGCACUGUGCCAGAUGCCUGAUAUAUGGACAUUUUUAAAAGAGAAGUAUGGUCUAGUACAAGGUCAACAAACUUUUUCUGCCCAGGACCAGAUUUUGCAAAUCAAGAGAGUGUUUCAUGGUGAUCCUGGGACAAUAGCAUUGGACAUCACUUGA